UACGUAGGGGGCGAGCGUUGUCCGGAUUUACUGGGCGUAAAGCGCGUGUAGGCGGCUGCUUAAGUCGGGCGUGAAAGCCCGGGGCUCAACCCCGGGAUGCCGCCCGAGACUGGGCGGCUUGAGGUCGGAAGAGGGGAGUGGAAUUCCAGGUGUAGCGGUGAAAUGCGUAGAUAUCGGGAGGAAUACCUAUGGCGAAAGCAGUCUUCUGGACCAUCACUGACUCUGAUCUGCGAAAGCUAGGGGAGCAAACAGG
This 253-nucleotide ribosomal RNA is filed under the name uncultured bacterium. Its description in RNAcentral is "partial 16S ribosomal RNA". It matches the Rfam family "Bacterial small subunit ribosomal RNA", at positions 524 to 776 of the family's 1533-position model. The record is from RNAcentral.